GUUUGUUUUGUCACCUUCACAAAAAUUGGAACGAUACAGAGAAGAUUAGCAUGGCCCCUGUGAAUGGAUGACACGCUUAAUUCAAGAAAUGGUCCAAAUUUUU
This 103-nucleotide small nuclear RNA is filed under the name Arabidopsis suecica. Lineage: Eukaryota; Viridiplantae; Streptophyta; Magnoliopsida; Brassicales; Brassicaceae. RNAcentral also lists the same sequence under 2 other names. The record is from RNAcentral.